GGUUCGAUCAUAACAGAUCAUCAUGGGAUGUUUACACAUGCAAGUCGAACGGCAGCACGGACUUAUCUGCGGCGAAAGGGCGAAACUGGUGAGGAACAUCGAACGUCAGUAGCGGGGAUGAACUAUCGAAAGCGUAGCUACUACCGCAUACGCCCUUCGGGGGAAAGCAAAAUCCGGCCUCGCACCAUGAGCGCCGAUAUCGACACAGUUGGGGUAACGGCUCACCAAGGCGACGAUCCGUAGCUGGCUUGAGGACCAGCCACACUGUGGGGACUGGAGGACACGGCCCAGACCCCGGCGGAGGCAGCAGUAAAAUUCGGGACAAUGGGAACCCUGAUCCAGCCAUCCUGCGUGCGAUGAAGGCCUUUGGCCAUAAAAGCACUUCGGCAGGAAGUAAACGCGUACUGGAUAAUACCCUGCGUGAAUCGACGGCACCGCAGAACAAGCACCGGCUAACUACGCCAGCAGCCGCAUGGUGGGUGCGCGUUAACGAAUUACUGAAGGUGAAGGCAGCAGGUGGCCCGGAAAGAAAGAUGUGAAAUCCAGAGCUUAACUUUGGAACUGCAUUUCUUAACUACCGAGUUAUGUAUUAUGAGAGGUGAAUCUCGCGGGCAGUGAAAUGCGUAGAUAUGCGGAGGAAACACCUCUGAUGUGGCGAAGGCAGCCUCCGGGAUAACACGCUCAUGCACGAAAGCGUGGGAGCAAACAGGAUUGAUACCCGGUAGUCCACGCGCUCUGGAACGAUGUCAACUAGCUGUUGGGGCCUUUCGGGCCUAGUAGCGCAGCUGUUCAGUGAAGCGACCGCCUGGGAGCAUGGUCGCAAGAUUGAAACUCAAAGGAAUUGACGGGGACCCGCACAAGCGGUGGAUGACAUGUGGAUUAAUUCGAUGCAACGCGAAAACUCACCACCCUUGACAUGUCUGGAAUCCCGAAGAGAUUUGGAGUGUCUGCAAGAGAAUCCAGAACACAGAAAAGGCAUGGCCGUCGUCAGCUCGUCGCAGGUGAUGUUGGGCUAAGUCCCGCAAUCAAGCGCAACCCUUGUCGCCAUACAUGGUAAGGGAACAUCGACGAGAUUGUCGGUGAUGAAAACCGAGGAAGGUGGGGAUGACGUUUCCGGCCCCAUAUCUUUAUGGUAGGUCACACGUCAGGCGCACCAAGAACAUGUAGGUCGCCAACCCGCGAGGUAGGCGCCAAUCCCAGAAACCCGAUCAGUCCGAUCAGGAAGUCUGCAACCGACUGCGUGAAGUCGGAAUCGCUAGUAAUCGCGGAUCAGGCAUGUCGCGGUGAAGGCCCUGGCCCGGUACACACCGCCCGUCACACCAGGGCGGGUUCACCAGGAAGUAGUUAGCCUAACCGUAAGGGAGGGCGAUUACCAUGUAGAUCUGACAUCAGUGGCGCUGCAACAUGU
RNAcentral lists this ribosomal RNA (1408 nucleotides) under uncultured Bordetella sp. RNAcentral describes it as "partial 16S-23S ribosomal RNA intergenic spacer". It matches the Rfam family "Bacterial small subunit ribosomal RNA". Lineage: Bacteria; Pseudomonadati; Pseudomonadota; Betaproteobacteria; Burkholderiales; Alcaligenaceae. The record is from RNAcentral.